This 1098-nucleotide ribosomal RNA is filed under the name Triticum aestivum (bread wheat). Its description in RNAcentral is "partial small subunit ribosomal RNA". Lineage: Eukaryota; Viridiplantae; Streptophyta; Magnoliopsida; Poales; Poaceae. The record is from RNAcentral.
AUGAACGAACAGCUCACACGCCCUUUCACCGAAGCCGAAGUGAAGGAUGCACUUGAUAGUAUUGGUAACAUCAAAGCCCCCGGACCAGAUGGGAUGCCAGCGAUUUUCUACAAGAAAUAUUGGUCGUUGGUUGGUCCAAAAGUGACAGCAGAAGUCUUGCAAGUCCUUGAUGGUGCUCCUAUGCCAGAAAAAGGGAAUGACACAUGUGUAGUGCUGAUACCAAAAGUAAAAAAUCCGGAAAGUAUGAAGGAAUUGCGUCCAAUAAGCUUGUGCAAUGUGCUCUAUAAGUUGAUCUCGAAAGUGCUUGCCAAUAGGUUGAAGGUGAUUCUUCCAGAGAUUAUUGCACCAAAUCAGAGUGCAUUUGUGCCAGGUCGCUUAAUUACCGAUAAUAUUCUUUUAGCCUAUGAGGUAACAGAUUACAUGCAUAAGAAGAAGAAUGGUAAGGAAGGCAUUGCGGCAUUGAAGCUUGAUAUGAGUAAAGCCUAUGAUAGAGUCGAAUGGCCCUUUCUGGAAGCUAUGAUGAGAAGAAUGGGUUUUGUGGAAGCAUGGAUCCAAUUGAUUAUGAAAUGUUGUCAGGCAGUGAAGUAUAAAUCCCGGUUUAAUGGAAAGCUUACUGAUGAAGUCAUCCCGGAGAGAGGAUUAAGGCAGGGGGAUCCCAUCUCUCCCUAUCUCUUUUUAUUCUGUAUGGAAGCUUUCUCAAGCCUGUUGAAUCAUGCGGAGAGCACUGGAAGUUUGGAAGGUGUUCAGAUAUGCAGUCAAGCCCCGAGUUUCAAUCACCUACUGUUCGCAGAUGACUCGUUGAUUCUACUGAAAGUAACCCCUGAGAGUCCACAUCAUAUGCAGAAUAUUUUAAACCUUUAUGAGGAUUGUUCUGGGCAAACCAUCAAUACAGAUAAAUCAUCCAUUACCUUCAGUAGGAAUACAAGAGAACCAGCAAGGAGAGCUAUGAUGGCAACACUAGGAGUUAAUAAGGAAGGAAGAGCUUACCGCUACUUGGGACUGCCUGUGCAUGUGGGUAAGUCAAAAAAACGCACAUUUGCGUACAUUAAGGACAGAAUUUGGAAGAAGCUUCAAGGAUGGAAAGAAAAGUUUUUGUGA